Carassius auratus (goldfish) is the source of this 2586-nucleotide long non-coding RNA. RefSeq lists it as uncharacterized. The record is from RefSeq and is a predicted model, not a curated record. Lineage: Eukaryota; Metazoa; Chordata; Actinopteri; Cypriniformes; Cyprinidae. The transcript has 4 exons.
GUAGUUUUAAUUUUUUUUUUCUCACAUGACUUAUGAGUCAUUGAAUUUAAAAUAGCUACAUCCAAGAUAUAUAUCUGGACCAAUCUAUAGUUAAAAUCAUUGAAAAAUUUAUUUUUAUGCAGCUGGCCACCUCACUUGAGUUCUUGAUGGAGUAUAUAUAAACUCAGACACAUCUGAGAAACAAAUCUAAAUACUUUUGUUAGAUGACAUCCUUUACUCAUCCUUCUAUUUUACAAUGCUGCGUGUUUAUGUGCGUGCUGAUGUCUGAUGUGAUGCUCACAGGUCGACUGACAGACAGCACACCGGCAGCUCUGCCCUCUAUGAGCGGUAGGUCACAUUUAUCCCGUACCUCCUCCGUUAUAGCCCCAGGAACGGUGCAGCCACAGCCAGGCGAGGUAGAUGAAUCCAAAUGGACAAACUUGUCUGGUGGCGCUAUUUUCCCAUGACACCCAGUCUCUAAAUGUGACCAGACAGCCUAUCUCUGCCCUUAAGAAUGUUUUUUACGUCUCUCCCUCUCUUCUGCUAGUGUUCGGAACAGUUUCAGUCCAUCUGACAUUUUUUUUUCUUUUUUGUGAACACACCAUGUUGAAGUGCACAUCGGUUUUGUGAGAGAUCUUGGCCUGUGGCAAUGGCUGUCAGUAGGAAGAGUUGCAGAGCAGGAGAAUUUGAAUACGGAACUGUUUACCAGGCCUCGCUGUAAGGAGCAGAGUCAUAUUUCAUCAGGUCUUGUUCAAGAAUAUCAGACCUCUCAGCAAACACAGGUUGUCCUGUCUGUGAUCUAAAUUUGGCCGUGAAAAGGAAUUGCUGGUUUGAUGUUUGACAAGGUUGGAAUGCAUUGUUGAGCUUAAUAUUGCAGAAAAGGAUCAACAGUCGUUGCAAGCUUGUACCCUAUUUGUUUGCUUGUAGAAGCAUCAACCUUUUUUCGCCGCCUUUUAGUAGACAAAAGCUAGCUAACAUCGUUAUGUUUAAGGUAUUUGUUUAUAUUUACCCCCAGGCCCAAUAAAUAGUAUACAUUGUGGAUUUCUUCAGUCAAAUAGUUAUUUUUUUCUGAUUUUUGCCACUAGAUGGCGACAAAUGCUCAUGUUAUUUUCAGAUUCAAUGCAUGCGGUUUUCAGUUUAACAACCAGGUUCCAUACAUGCUGUGCGUGCAUUUAAAUUUGAAGCGCUUAUUAUUUUAAAUAAAUUAACAGCUAGUGUCAAAAUAUCUCGUUUUAACCAAAUGUAAAGUGUCAGUGAACGGAUAUCAAAAUUAUAUCUAAAGGGUAGGAAUAUUUCAGAAUCGUGUCAUAUUCAGAUUAGUUUGUUUAUAACAGUUGUGGCGAAUAUCACGAGACCACUUGGUUCUUAGUAUAACCGUUAAUGAUAUUUAUUCGUUCAAACACUGUAGUGGUCGUAGCAUUUUGUCUUAUAUUAUGCUUAGCAGGAAAAACCCUUGGCUUUGGGGUUGUUCCAAACUUCUGAGUGAUGAUUUCUGCUGACAUAACGAUAAAUCCUUCAAAUCCGCUCAAACAUUUUUGAGGUAAAUCAUUCAUAUUUUAUGUGCCAUUUAAACACGACAAAUGCUGUAUGAAUAUAUGUGUUUAUAGUCUAUUUAGAGUUGAACCGUAAAUGCCUUUUCAACUAUAAUUCGGUUUCUGAAUUUGAAUGUAGCUAACAGGAUUCCAAUUCGAAUUUGAAUGUAAGGAAAUCAUAUGAAAAUUAAGUGAAAUUUAAGGCAAUGGCGCCAAGACAGACUUAGAAUUUUUGCUCGGUAUAAACAUUUAAAAAACAUUGAGGACAGACAGACAACUAUAGAAGUAAUUUAAUUCUAAUAAAUCAUUGUAGUUGUAUAGUUAAUAAGAAUGCCUAAACACUUCAUUUCCCAGAAUGCAUUACUACAGUAUACUGAAUUUCUUUAAAUUACAAUUCAUAAAUUUCCUAUUCCUGACAUUAGGAUUUACAUAUUAUUUUAGUAACUUCUUGUCAGUUUCUUUUACAACCCUGGUAGUAGCAAUCAUGUAGCAUUUGUACAUUUACCAAAGUAUUGUUUAUAAUGCAAACCAAUUUCAUUGUAUUUUCCCAUGUUAAACCUCAAACAUUGUAGACCCAUGCUCCACCGUUUUUGUCUAUCGAACAUGAGAUGUGCGGAAAAAGAAGAGACAGUAAAUCAGGAUCGGUCUCACCUGCAGCCAGCCUCCAUAAAACUGAAGGAGGGAGUUGAGCUCCACUAGUUUUAUGAGUGAAGUCAAACAUUUCCAGCCUAUAAAGCCCCGUCUUGCUGCUGGAAAGAAGCCAGGGCAUGUGUCCGUGUUUACCUCACAUGCACCGGGUCGCAUCCUCCUUUCACGCUGAUGUCAGAUUGGCACGACACAUGGAUCACAUCACGGGGCAAAAACCUCCUAAGCAUUCCACCAGCGCAAGCGUGUUAAAGCUUGUAGAGGUGGAGCGGUCCACCUCAUCUGCUCUCUGCCAGAGCCAGUGUGUGUGAUAAAUGAGAGGAGGCCCGGUCUGCUUACUGAUGCACAGGAGAUACUAAACCAGCACCCCACCCCCCCACCGCCAGCCCUCCAUCCACCUCCUCUUCCUCCAUCUUUCAGCUCCAUCUAU